GAUGAACGCUGGCGGCGUGCCUAAUACAUGCAAGUCGAGCGAACGGACGAGAAGCUUGCUUCUCUGAUGUUAGCGGCGGACGGGUGAGUAACACGUGGAUAACCUACCUAUAAGACUGGGAUAACUUCGGGAAACCGUAGCUAAUACCGGAUAAUAUUUUGAACCGCAUGGUUCAAAAGUGAAAGACGGUCUUGCUGUCACUUAUAGAUGGAUCCGCGCUGCAUUAGCUAGUUGGUAAGGUAACGGCUUACCAAGGCAACGAUGCAUAGCCGACCUGAGAGGGUGAUCGGCCACACUGGAACUGAGACACGGUCCAGACUCCUACGGGAGGCAGCAGUAGGGAAUCUUCCGCAAUGGGCGAAAGCCUGACGGAGCAACGCGGCGUGAGUGAUGAAGGUCUUCGGAUCGUAAAACUCUGUUAUUAGGGAAGAACAUAUGUGUAAGUAACUGUGCACAUCUUGACGGUACCUAAUCAGAAAGCCACGGCUAACUACGUG
RNAcentral lists this ribosomal RNA (497 nucleotides) under uncultured bacterium. Its description in RNAcentral is "partial 16S ribosomal RNA". It matches the Rfam family "Bacterial small subunit ribosomal RNA", at positions 28 to 507 of the family's 1533-position model. The record is from RNAcentral.